GGGGCUGUAGCUCAGUGGUAGAGCGCCUGCCUCGCACAUAUGAAGCACCAGGUUCAAUCCUCAGCACCA
This 69-nucleotide transfer RNA is filed under the name Ictidomys tridecemlineatus (thirteen-lined ground squirrel). Its description in RNAcentral is "Spermophilus tridecemlineatus (thirteen-lined ground squirrel) tRNA". It matches the Rfam family "tRNA". From Rfam's summary of the family: Transfer RNA (tRNA) molecules are approximately 80 nucleotides in length. Lineage: Eukaryota; Metazoa; Chordata; Mammalia; Rodentia; Sciuridae. The record is from Rfam by way of RNAcentral. RNAcentral also lists the same sequence under 1 other name.